ACGUAGGGAGCGAGCGUUGUCCGGAUUUACUGGGUGUAAAGGGUGCGUAGGCGGGCCCGCAAGUCAGACGUGAAAGCCACAGGCUCAACCUGUGAAUUGCGUUUGAAACUGUGGGUCUUGAGUGAAGUAGAGGUAGGCGGAAUUCCCGGUGUAGCGGUGAAAUGCGUAGAGAUCGGGAGGAACACCAGUGGCGAAGGCGGCCUACUGGGCUUUAACUGACGCUGAGGCACGAAAGCGUGGGUAGCAAACAG
This 251-nucleotide ribosomal RNA is filed under the name uncultured bacterium. Its description in RNAcentral is "partial 16S ribosomal RNA". It matches the Rfam family "Bacterial small subunit ribosomal RNA", at positions 525 to 775 of the family's 1533-position model. The record is from RNAcentral.